Non-coding RNA from Paramuricea clavata, 536 nucleotides. The record is from the annotation of a GenBank genome assembly. NCBI's taxonomy places the organism in Eukaryota, Metazoa, Cnidaria, Anthozoa, Malacalcyonacea, Plexauridae.
CUACCACAAUGGUAAACCACUACCUACCCUGAGAACCAAGACCACUCUUAUCUCAGUGUAGGACGUGUCUUUCAAGACCACUAGUCCACUAUACCUAUACUCAGAACCAGCAGUUUGAAGUUUAGGCUAGUGAGAAUCUACCACAAAGGACGUGUAUUUCAUGACCACUACCUACACUGAGAACCAACAGUUUGACGUUUAGACUAGUGAGAAUCUACCACAAAGGACGUGUAUUUCAAGACCACUACCUACACUGAGAACCAACAGUUUGAAGUUUAGACUAGUGAUAAUCUACCACAAAGGACGUGUAUUUCAAGACCACUGCCUAUACUGAGAACCAACAGUUUGAAAUUUAGACUAGUGAGAAUCUACCACAAAGGACGUGUAUUUCAAGACCACUACCUACACUGAGAACCAACAGUUUGAAGUUUAGACUAGUGAGAAUCUACCACAAAGGAUGUGUAUUUCAAGACCACUACCUACACUGAGAACCAACAGUUUGAAGUUUAGACUAGUGAGAAUCUACCACAAAGGAC